RNAcentral lists this ribosomal RNA (491 nucleotides) under uncultured bacterium. RNAcentral describes it as "partial 16S ribosomal RNA". It matches the Rfam family "Bacterial small subunit ribosomal RNA", at positions 29 to 506 of the family's 1533-position model. The record is from RNAcentral.
AGUGAACGCUGGCGGUAGGCCUAACACAUGCAAGUCGAACGGCAGCACAGUAAGAGCUUGCUCUUACGGGUGGCGAGUGGCGGACGGGUGAGGAAUACAUCGGAAUCUACUUUUUCGUGGGGGAUAACGUAGGGAAACUUACGCUAAUACCGCAUACGACCUACGGGUGAAAGCAGGGGAUCUUCGGACCUUGCGCGAUUGAAUGAGCCGAUGUCGGAUUAGCUAGUUGGCGGGGUAAAGGCCCACCAAGGCGACGAUCCGUAGCUGGUCUGAGAGGAUGAUCAGCCACACGGGAACUGAGACACGGUCCAGACUCCUACGGGAGGCAGCGGUGGGGAAUAUUGGACAGUGGGCGCAAGCCUGAUCCAGCCAUACCGCGUGGGUGAAGAAGGCCUUCGGGUUGUAAAGCCCUUUUGUUGGGAAAGAAAAGCAGAAGGUUAAUACCCCGCUGUUCUGACGGUACCCAAAGAAUAAGCACCGGCUAACUCCGU